Molecule: ribosomal RNA, 253 nt
Filed under: uncultured bacterium
Lineage: Bacteria
Description: partial 16S ribosomal RNA
Rfam family: Bacterial small subunit ribosomal RNA
Source: RNAcentral
UACGUAGGGGGCAAGCAUUAUCCGGAUUUACUGGGUGUAAAGGGAGCGUAGACGGCCAGACAAGUCUGAAGUGAAAAUCCAGCGCUUAACGUUGGAAGUGCUUUGGAAACUGCCGGGCUAGAGUGCAGGAGGGGCAGGCGGAAUUCCUAGUGUAGCGGUGAAAUGCGUAGAUAUUAGGAGGAACACCAGUGGCGAAGGCGGCCUGCUGGACUGCAACUGACGUUGAGGCUCGAAAGCGUGGGGAGCAAACAGG